RNAcentral lists this ribosomal RNA (484 nucleotides) under uncultured bacterium. RNAcentral describes it as "bacterial SSU rRNA". It matches the Rfam family "Bacterial small subunit ribosomal RNA", at positions 410 to 887 of the family's 1533-position model. The record is from RNAcentral.
GAAGGCCUUCGGGUUGUAAACUGCUUUUGUACGGAACGAAAAGGUUCUCUCUAAUAAAGAGGGCUCAUGACGGUACCGUAAGAAUAAGCACCGGCUAACUACGUGCCAGCAGCCGCGGUAAUACGUAGGGUGCAAGCGUUAAUCGGAAUUACUGGGCGUAAAGCGUGCGCAGGCGGUUUUGUAAGACAGGCGUGAAAUCCCCGGGCUCAACCUGGGAAUUGCGCUUGUGACUGCAAGGCUAGAGUACGGUAGAGGGGGGUAGAAUUCCGCGUGUAGCAGUGAAAUGCGUAGAUAUGCGGAGGAACACCGAUGGCGAAGGCAGCCCCCUGGACCUGUACUGACGCUCAUGCACGAAAGCGUGGGGAGCAAACAGGAUUAGAUACCCUGGUAGUCCACGCCCUAAACGAUGUCAACUGGUUGUUGGGAAUUUACUUUCUCAGUAACGAAGCUAACGCGUGAAGUUGACCGCCUGGGGAGUACGGCC